This 109-nucleotide ribosomal RNA is filed under the name Armatimonadota bacterium. Lineage: Bacteria; Bacillati; Armatimonadota. RNAcentral also lists the same sequence under 3 other names. The record is from RNAcentral.
GGUGGCCAUGGCGAGGGGGAAACACCCGUUCCCAUCCCGAACACGGCAGUUAAGCCCCUCAGCGCCGGAAGUACUUGGUCCGAAAGGUCCCGGGAGAUAUGGACGCCGC